GGGCCUGUAGCUCAGUUGGUUAGAGCAGUAGACUCAUAAUCUAUUGGUCGGAGGUUCGAGUCCUCCCGGGCCCA
Molecule: transfer RNA, 74 nt
Filed under: Cocleimonas flava
Lineage: Bacteria; Pseudomonadati; Pseudomonadota; Gammaproteobacteria; Thiotrichales; Thiotrichaceae
Also listed under: 1 other name
Rfam family: tRNA
About the family: Transfer RNA (tRNA) molecules are approximately 80 nucleotides in length. Their secondary structure includes four short double-helical elements and three loops (D, anti-codon, and T loops).
Source: Rfam by way of RNAcentral